UACAGGGGGUGCAAACGUUGCUCGGAAUUAUUGGGCGUAAAGCGCGCGUAGGCGGCCACUUAAGUCGGAUGUGAAAGCCCCUGGCUCAACUGGGGAAGUGCACCCGAAACUGAAUGGCUUGAGUGCGAAAGAGGGUCGCGGAAUUCCCGGUGUAGAGGUGAAAUUCGUAGAUAUCGUAAGGAACACCAGUGGCGAAAGCGAGUCUCUGGAUAGCAACUGACGCUGAAGCACGAAGGCCAGGGGAGCAAACGGG
This 253-nucleotide ribosomal RNA is filed under the name uncultured bacterium. RNAcentral describes it as "partial 16S ribosomal RNA". It matches the Rfam family "Bacterial small subunit ribosomal RNA", at positions 524 to 776 of the family's 1533-position model. The record is from RNAcentral.